ACUCAAAGGAAUAGACGGGGGCCCGCACAAGCGGUGGAGCAUGUGGUUUAAUUCGACGCAACGCGAAGAACCUUACCCAGGCUUGAACUGCAGAUGACAUCCUACGAAAGUAGGCUCCCGCAAGGGCAUCUGUAGAGGUGCUGCAUGGCUGUCGUCAGCUCGUGUCGUGAGAUGUUGGGUUAAGUCCCGCAACGAGCGCAACCCUUGUCUUCUGUUGCCAUCAGGUUAAGCUGGGCACUCUGAAGAGACUGCCGGUGACAAACCGGAGGAAGGUGGGGAUGACGUCAAGUCAGCAUGGCCUUUAUGUCUGGGGCCACACACGUGCUACAAUGGCCGACACAAACCGUUGCGAGCCCGCGAGGGGGAGCUAAUCGGACAAAGUCGGUCUCAGUUCGGAUUGUAGGCUGCAACUCGCCUGCAUGAAGUUGGAAUCGCUAGUAAUCGCGGAUCAGCACGCCGCGGUGAAUACGUUCCCGGGCCUUGCACACACCGCCCGU
RNAcentral lists this ribosomal RNA (497 nucleotides) under uncultured bacterium. RNAcentral's name for it is "partial 16S ribosomal RNA". It matches the Rfam family "Bacterial small subunit ribosomal RNA", at positions 899 to 1397 of the family's 1533-position model. The record is from RNAcentral.